RNAcentral lists this transfer RNA (72 nucleotides) under Heterocephalus glaber (naked mole-rat). It matches the Rfam family "tRNA". From Rfam's summary of the family: Transfer RNA (tRNA) molecules are approximately 80 nucleotides in length. Their secondary structure includes four short double-helical elements and three loops (D, anti-codon, and T loops). Further hydrogen bonds mediate the characteristic L-shaped molecular structure. tRNAs have two regions of fundamental functional importance: the anti-codon, which is responsible for specific mRNA codon recognition, and the 3' end, to which the tRNAs corresponding amino acid is attached (by aminoacyl-tRNA synthetases). tRNAs cope with the degeneracy of the genetic code in two manners: having more than one tRNA (with a specific anti-codon) for a particular amino acid; and 'wobble' base-pairing, i.e. permitting non-standard base-pairing at the 3rd anti-codon position. Lineage: Eukaryota; Metazoa; Chordata; Mammalia; Rodentia; Bathyergidae. The record is from Rfam by way of RNAcentral.
GGGGAUGUAGCUCAGUGGUAGAGCACUUGCCUAGCAAGCACAAAGCUCUGGGUUCAAUCUCCGGCACUGCAA